CUGGUAUCCCCGGGGACUUAAAAACAGGGCCCUCAGGGCAGUCAGCCCACACCUUCCUUCCCAACUGCAGCAACAUGGCCUUUCUCUGGCUUCUCUCCUGCUUCGCCCUUGUGGGGGCUGCCUUCGGUCAGUGUGGGGUCCCCGCCAUCGAACCCGUGUUGAAUGGCCUGUCCAGGAUCGUUAAUGGCGAGGACGCUGUCCCGGGCUCCUGGCCCUGGCAGGUGUCCCUGCAGGAUGAAACCAGAGGUGGGAG
Long non-coding RNA from Herpailurus yagouaroundi (jaguarundi), 253 nucleotides. RefSeq lists it as uncharacterized. Lineage: Eukaryota; Metazoa; Chordata; Mammalia; Carnivora; Felidae. The transcript is spliced from 4 exons. The record is from RefSeq and is a predicted model, not a curated record.